RNAcentral lists this ribosomal RNA (583 nucleotides) under uncultured Bacillus sp. RNAcentral describes it as "bacterial SSU rRNA". It matches the Rfam family "Bacterial small subunit ribosomal RNA", at positions 102 to 671 of the family's 1533-position model. The record is from RNAcentral. Lineage: Bacteria; Bacillati; Bacillota; Bacilli; Caryophanales; Bacillaceae.
ACGGGUGAGUAACACGUGGGUAACCUGCCUGUAAGACUGGGAUAACUCCGGGAAACCGGAGCUAAUACCGGAUAGUUCCUUGAACCGCAUGGUUCAAGGAUGAGAGACGGUUUCGGCUGUCACUUACAGAUGGACCCGCGGCGCAUUAGCUAGUUGGUGAGGUAACGGCUCACCAAGGCAACGAUGCGUAGCCGACCUGAGAGGGUGAUCGGCCACACUGGGACUGAGACACGGCCCAGACUCCUACGGGAGGCAGCAGUAGGGAAUCUUCCGCAAUGGACGAAAGUCUGACGGAGCAACGCCGCGUGAGUGAUGAAGGUUUUCGGAUCGUAAAGCUCUGUUGUUAGGGAAGAACAAGUGCAAGAGUAACUGCUUGCACCUUGACGGUACCUAACCAGAAAGCCACGGCUAACUACGUGCCAGCAGCCGCGGUAAUACGUAGGUGGCAAGCGUUGUCCGGAAUUAUUGGGCGUAAAGGGCUCGCAGGCGGUUUCUUAAGUCUGAUGUGAAAGCCCCCGGCUCAACCGGGGAGGGUCAUUGGAAACUGGGAAACUUGAGUGCAGAAGAGGAGAGUGGAAUUCCA